RNAcentral lists this ribosomal RNA (505 nucleotides) under uncultured bacterium. RNAcentral's name for it is "partial 16S ribosomal RNA". It matches the Rfam family "Bacterial small subunit ribosomal RNA", at positions 28 to 507 of the family's 1533-position model. The record is from RNAcentral.
GACGAACGCUGGCGGCGUGCCUAAUACAUGCAAGUAGAACGCACAGUUUAUACCGUAGCUUGCUACACCAUAGACUGUGAGUUGCGAACGGGUGAGUAACGCGUAGGUAACCUGCCUGGUAGCGGGGGAUAACUAUUGGAAACGAUAGCUAAUACCGCAUAAUAUUAAUUAUUGCAUGAUAAUUGAUUGAAAGAUGCAACUGCAUCACUACCAGAUGGACCUGCGUUGUAUUAGCUAGUAGGUGAGGUAACGGCUCACCUAGGCGACGAUACAUAGCCGACCUGAGAGGGUGAUCGGCCACACUGGGACUGAGACACGGCCCAGACUCCUACGGGAGGCAGCAGUAGGGAAUCUUCGGCAAUGGACGAAAGUCUGACCGAGCAACGCCGCGUGAGUGAAGAAGGUUUUCGGAUCGUAAAGCUCUGUUGUAAGAGAAGAACGGGUGUGGGAGUGGAAAGUUCACACUGUGACGGUAUCUUACCAGAAAGGGACGGCUAACUACGUG